This 955-nucleotide ribosomal RNA is filed under the name uncultured bacterium. Its description in RNAcentral is "bacterial SSU rRNA". It matches the Rfam family "Bacterial small subunit ribosomal RNA", at positions 28 to 981 of the family's 1533-position model. The record is from RNAcentral.
GAUGAACGCUAGCGGCACGCUUCAUACAUGCAAGUCGAGGGGCAGCAUAAAGUACUUGUACUUUGAUGGCGACCGGCGAACGGGUGCGUAACGCGUAUGCAACUUACCUUUUACUAGAGAAUAGCCAAGAGAAAUUUUGAUUAAUGCUCUAUACUCUUUUUAACUCACAUGAGUUUUUAAGAAAAGCUCCGGCGGUAAAAGAUGGGCAUGCGUCCUAUUAGCUUGUAGGUGAGGUAACGGCUCACCUAAGCUCCGAUAGGUAGGGGUCCUGAGAGGGAGAUCCCCCACACUGGUACUGAGACACGGACCAGACUUCUACGGAAGGCAGCAGUAAGGAAUAUUGGACAAUGGAGGAAACUCUGAUCCAGCGAUGCCGCGUGAAGGAAGACGGCCCUAUGGGUUGUAAACUUCUUUUAUACAGGAAGAAACCUUUCCACGUGUGGAAAGCUGACGGUACUGUAAGAAUAAGGAUCGGCUAACUCCGUGCCAGCAGCCGCGGUAAUACGGAGGAUCCAAGCGUUAUCCGGAAUCAUUGGGUUUAAAGGGUCCGUAGGUGGAUAAUUAAGUCAGAGGUGAAAGUUUGCGGCUCAACCGUAAAAUUGCCUUUGAUACUGGUUAUCUUGAGUUAUUGUGAAGUAGUUAGAAUAUGUAGUGUAGCGGUGAAAUGCAUAGAUAUUACAUAGAAUACCAAUUGCGAAGGCAGAUUACUAACAAUAUACUGACACUGAUGGACGAAAGCGUGGGUAGCGAACAGGAUUAGAUACCCUGGUAGUCCACGCCGUAAACGAUGGAUACUAGCUGUUGGGCUUCGGCUCAGUGGCUAAGCGAAAGUGAUAAGUAUCCCACCUGGGGAGUACGUUCGCAAGAAUGAAACUCAAAGGAAUUGACGGGGGCCCGCACAAGCGGUGGAGCAUGUGGUUUAAUUCGAUGAUACGCGAGGAACCUUACCAGGGCU